ACCUGACUGCUAUCGGAUUGAUACUAAGCCAUGCGAGUCAUUGUAGCAAUACAAGGCAGACGGCUCAGUAACGCGUAGUCAACCUAACCUAUGGACGGGAAUAACCUCGGGAAACUGAGAAUAAUGCCCGAUAGAACACUAUGUCUGGAAUGAUUUGUGUUCCAAAUGAUUUAUCGCCGUAGGAUGGGACUGCGGCCUAUCAGUUUGUUGGUGAGGUAAUGGCCCACCAAGACUAUUACAGGUACGGGCUCUGAGAGGAGUAGCCCGGAGAUGGGUACUGAGACACGGACCCAGGCCCUAUGGGGCGCAGCAGGCGAGAAAACUUUGCAAUGUGCGAAAGCACGACAAGGUUAAUCCGAGUGGUUUGUGCUAAACAGACCUUUUGUUAGUCCUAGAAACACUAACGAAUAAGGGGUGGGCAAGUUCUGGUGUCAGCCGCCGCGGUAAAACCAGCACCUCAAGUGGUCAGGAUGAUUAUUGGGCCUAAAGCAUCCGUAGCCGGCUCUGUAAGUUUUCGGUUAAAUCUGUAUGCUCAACAUACAGGCUGCCGGGAAUACUGCAGAGCUAGGGAGUGGGAGAGGUAGACGGUACUCGGUAGGAAGGGGUAAAAUCCUUUGAUCUAUUGAUGACCACCUGUGGCGAAGGCGGUCUACCAGAACACGUCCGACGGUGAGGGAUGAAAGCUGGGGGAGCAAACCGGAUUAGAUACCCGGGUAGUCCCAGCUGUAAACUAUGCAAACUCAGUGAUGCAUUGGCUUGUGGCCAAUGCAGUGCUGCAGGGAAGCCGUUAAGUUUGCCGCCUGGGAAGUACGUACGCAAGUAUGAAACUUAAAGGAAUUGGCGGGGGAGCACCACAAGGGGUGAAGCCUGCGGUUC
This 876-nucleotide ribosomal RNA is filed under the name uncultured Nitrososphaerota archaeon. Its description in RNAcentral is "bacterial SSU rRNA". It matches the Rfam family "Archaeal small subunit ribosomal RNA", at positions 21 to 903 of the family's 1478-position model. Lineage: Archaea; Thermoproteati; Nitrososphaerota. The record is from RNAcentral.